CCUACGGGAGGCUGCAGUGGGGAAUAUUGCACAAUGGGCGCAAGCCUGAUGCAGCCAUGCCGCGUGUGUGAAGAAGGCCUUCGGGUUGUAAAGCACUUUCAGCGGGGAGGAAGGCGGUGAGGUUAAUAACCUCAUCGAUUGACGUUACCCGCAGAAGAAGCACCGGCUAACUCCGUGCCAGCAGCCGCGGUAAUACGGAGGGUGCAAGCGUUAAUCGGAAUUACUGGGCGUAAAGCGCACGCAGGCGGUCUGUCAAGUCGGAUGUGAAAUCCCCGGGCUCAACCUGGGAACUGCAUUCGAAACUGGCAGGCUAGAGUCUUGUAGAGGGGGGUAGAAUUCCAGGUGUAGCGGCGAAAUGCGUAGAGAUCUGGAGGAAUACCGGUGGCGAAGGCGGCCCCCUGGACAAAGACUGACGCUCAGGUGCGAAAGCGUGGGGAGCAAACAGGAUUAGAUACCCGUGUAGUC
RNAcentral lists this ribosomal RNA (465 nucleotides) under uncultured Klebsiella sp. Its description in RNAcentral is "bacterial SSU rRNA". It matches the Rfam family "Bacterial small subunit ribosomal RNA", at positions 338 to 795 of the family's 1533-position model. The record is from RNAcentral. Lineage: Bacteria; Pseudomonadati; Pseudomonadota; Gammaproteobacteria; Enterobacterales; Enterobacteriaceae.